GUGACCGAUAGUGAACCAGUACCGUGAGGGAAAGGUGAAAAGAACCCCGGGAGGGGAGUGAAAAGAAUCUGAAACUGUAUGCUUACAAGAUGUCAGAGACCGUUAAAGGUUGAUGACGUGCCUAUUGAAGAAUGAGCCGGCGAGUUAUGUAUACAUGCGAGGUUAAGGAGAAGAUCCGGAGCCGUAGCGAAAGCGAGUCUGAAUAGGGCGUUCAGUAUGUGUAUGUAGACCCGAAACCCGACGAUCUAGCCAUGAUCAAGAUGAAGUAAGGGUCAAACCUUAUGGAGGUCUGAACCGACGUUCGUUGAAACGACCGCGGAUGAAUUGUGGCUCGUGGUGAAAUUCCAAUCGAGUCGGGUAAUAGCUGGUUCUCCUCGAAAUAGCUUUAGGGCUAGCCUCAGAACACUACAUUUUGGAGGUAGAGCACUGAAUGAAAGCGAGCCGCGCCAAGCGGUAUCAAUUUCAAUCAAACUCCGAAUUCCGAGAUGCUUAUUCUGGGAGUCAGACUGUGGGAGAUAAGUUUCAUGGUCAAAAGGGCAACAGCCCGGACCGCCAACUAAGGUCCCUAAAUUCGCGCUAAGUGUUAAAGGAUGUAGAGAUACUUAAACAGCUAGGAUGUUGGCUCAGAGGCAGCCAUCAUUUAAAGAAUGCGUAACAGCUCACUAGUCAAGUGUCUCCGCGCCGAAAAUUUACCGGGGCUAAGCGCGAUACCGAAGUUGCGGAUAUUUCUAAAGAAAUGUGGUAGGGGAGCGUUCCAUUAGCAUAGAAGCCAUACCGGAAGGAGUGGUGGAGCGAAUGGAAGUGAGAAUGCCGGCGUAAGUAACGAUAAGAGGUGAGAAUCCUCUUCACCAUUUGACUAAGGUUUCCUGGGCUAGGUUCGUCCACCCAGGGUCAGUCGGGACCUAAGACGAGGCCGAAAGGCGUAGCCGAUGGACAGCAGGUUAAUAUUCCUGAACCCGGUUGUGUGCGAUCGCAGUGACGAAAGCGGUUAGGUUUACCCACGAAUGGAAGUGUGGGGAGAUAGUGAUAAGCUGUCGGCUAGAAUCCGACACCAAGUGAAACACCGAAGUACGAAAGGGGUGACCUGAGUAGGAAGUAGCUGAUACCGAUUUCCAAGAAAAGCUGCUAGCUUAAGCACAAUCGGCCCGUACCGAGAACGGACACACGUGGUCAAGGAGAGUAUCCUAAGGUGAGCGAGAUAACUGUUGUUAAGGAACUCUGCAAAAUUACUUCGUAAGUUAGCGAGAAGAAGUGCUCCGUAAAAGGAGCCGCAGUGAAGAGGCCCAAGUAACUGUUUACCAAAAACACAGCUCUAUGCUAAGUCGUAAGACGAUGUAUAUGGGGUGAAGCCUGCCCGGUGCCGGAAGGUUAAUAGGAGAGGUGAAAGCUUUGAAUUGAAGCCCCGGUGAACGGCGGCCGUAACUAUAACGGUCCUAAGGUAGCGAAAUUCCUUGUCAGGU
RNAcentral lists this ribosomal RNA (1460 nucleotides) under human gut metagenome. Its description in RNAcentral is "bacterial LSU rRNA". It matches the Rfam family "Bacterial large subunit ribosomal RNA", at positions 480 to 1977 of the family's 2925-position model. The record is from RNAcentral.